AUUUUUAUGGUGUAAAUAACACAUUGUCCUUUCAAGACAAAACUAAAUUAUUUUAAAAAUG
Molecule: transfer RNA, 61 nt
Filed under: Stygobromus foliatus
Lineage: Eukaryota; Metazoa; Arthropoda; Malacostraca; Amphipoda; Crangonyctidae
Description: tRNA-Glu
Source: RNAcentral